CCCUAGACUGUCUGGGUCUAGAGCUCAAGGCCUACCAAGCUGGCUUAGUGGAGACCUUCUUAAAAACAUCCAUUUUCCAGCCACUCAGGCUGGUUUGCUCAUCUUCAGUAAAGGUGAUAACAGCCUUCUGCCGCAAGCCAGAGGUACUGUCAGUGUUCACCGCAUAAAACAGGCAACACACAUGUGAAACUCAUUGGGUCUCUCCAGCAGAAUGACAACUUUAUCACCACAGUGUAACUGGAACAUCCUCCACACAGCUGUGGCCAGAGCAGUAAAUCUGAAACUGAAAUUUGAUCCUGACACCACCUGUUUAAACCCUUCCUGUGGCUGAAACACCUCCUGCUUCUCAUCGGCAUUUGCCCUGAGAGCCAGAAUGGGGCUGAAUCUUCAGACGGAGAUCAAAGUGGCCAUAGCAGAAGGGAUAAGAGGUGAUGCAGAGGCUGGGCCAGGACUUGGGAUGCUGCUGUAAUAGCUAGCACUCCAAUACCCAUCUUGAACCAUGGAUGACCCUGAGAUGGAACCAUCUUGAACCAUGAGAUGACCCUGAUAUGGAACCAUCUUGAACCAUGAGAUGACCUUGAGAUGGGACCAUCUUGAACCAUGAGAUGACCUUGAGGUGGGAGCCUUGGAGCAGAAAGAUAGAAGGAUGCUUUCUCACUCCCAGAUGAUCCUAUAAGGACACCAUACCAAGCCCAUCACACCUAUCUCUCAUCUUCUUUAACAUGAGAAGAUAAAACCUUUAAGACAAA
Felis catus (domestic cat) is the source of this 749-nucleotide long non-coding RNA. RefSeq lists it as uncharacterized. NCBI's taxonomy places the organism in Eukaryota, Metazoa, Chordata, Mammalia, Carnivora, Felidae. The record is from RefSeq and is a predicted model, not a curated record. The transcript has 2 exons.